Molecule: ribosomal RNA, 703 nt
Filed under: uncultured bacterium
Lineage: Bacteria
Description: bacterial SSU rRNA
Rfam family: Bacterial small subunit ribosomal RNA
Source: RNAcentral
GGUUUGAUAAGUUGGAUGUGAAAUCCCAUGGCUUAACCAUGGAACUGCAUCCAAAACUGUCAGACUAGAAUGAGGGAGAGGUCAGUGGAAUUAGUGGUGUAGGGGUAAAAUCCGUAGAGAUCACUAGGAAUACUCAUUGCGAAGGCGACUGACUGGAACUUUAUUGACGCUGAGGCGUGAAAGCGUGGGGAGCAAACAGGAUUAGAUACCCUGGUAGUCCACGCCCUAAACGAUGUACACUAGUUGUUGGGAUGCAAGUCAUUCCAGUGAUGCAGUUAACACAUUAAGUGUACCGCCUGGGGAGUACGGUCGCAAGAUUAAAACUCAAAGGAAUAGACGGGGACCCGCACAAGUGGUGGAGCAUGUGGUUUAAUUCGAAGAUACGCGAAGAACCUUACCUGGGCUUGACAUCCCGAGAAUCACCCAGAGAUGGGUGAGUGCCAGUUUACUGGAGCUCGGUGACAGGUGCUGCACGGCUGUCGUCAGCUCGUGUCGUGAGAUGUUGGGUUAAGUCCCGCAACGAGCGCAACCCUCGUCCUUAGUUGCUAACAGUUAGGCUGAGCACUCUAAGGAGACUGCCUUCGUAAGGAGGAGGAAGGUGAGGACGACGUCAAGUCAUCAUGGCCCUUAUGCCCAGGGCGACACACGUGCUACAAUGGCCAGGACAAUGAGAGGCGAUACCGCGAGGUGGAGCAAAUCUAUA